This 1490-nucleotide ribosomal RNA is filed under the name metagenome. RNAcentral's name for it is "bacterial SSU rRNA". It matches the Rfam family "Bacterial small subunit ribosomal RNA". The record is from RNAcentral.
AGAGUUUGAUCCUGGCUCAGAGUGAACGUUGGCGGCGUGCCUAACACAUGCAAGUCGAACGAGAACCGGGGGGCUUGCUCCCUGGGGACAGUGGCGAACGGGUGAGUAACACGUGGGCAAUCUGCCCUCGAGUGGGGAAUAACUCCGCGAAAGCGGGGCUAAUACCGCAUAAUACUCUGGUGCAUAUGCAUUCAGAGUCAAAGCCUUAGGGUGCUUGAGGAUGAGCUUGCGUCUUAUUAGCUAGUUGGUAGGGUAAUGGCCUACCAAGGCUUUGAUGAGUAGCCGGCCUGAGAGGGUGAUCGGCCACACUGGGACUGCGACACGGCCCAGACUCCUACGGGAGGCAGCAGUGGGGAAUUUUGCGCAAUGGGCGAAAGCCUGACGCAGCGACGCCGCGUGGAGGAUGACGGCCUUCGGGUUGUAAACUCCUGUCAGAGGUGAAGAAUGCACUUCGGUGUUUGACGGUACCUCAGAGGAAGCCCCGGCUAACUACGUGCCAGCAGCCGCGGUAAUACGUAGGGGGCUAACGUUGCUCGGAAUUACUGGGCGUAAAGGGUGUGUAGGUGGCAGUGCAAGUCGAAAAUGAAAGCCCAUGGCUCAACCAUGGAAUGGUUUUCGAAACUGCACAGCUUGAGGAUGGUUGAGGAAGGCGGAAUUCCCGGUGGAGCGGUGAAGUGCGUAGAUAUCGGGAGGAACACCAGAGGCGAAGGCGGCCUUCUGGGUCAUUCCGGACACUGAAACACGAAAGCUAGGGGAGCGAACGGGAUUAGAUACCCCGGUAGUCCUAGCCGUAAACGAUGGGCACUAGAUGUUUCUGCUUUAUGCGGGAGUGUCGAAGUUAGCGCAUUAAGUGCCCCGCCUGGGGAGUACGGUCGCAAGGCUGAAACUCAAAGGAAUUGACGGGGGCCCGCACAAGCGGUGGAGCAUGUGGUUUAAUUCGACACAACGCGAAAAACCUUACCUGGGCUUGAACAGCUGGACGUAAGAACCAGAGAUGGUAAUGACCCUGCUUGCAGGGAACCAGUAGAGGUGCUGCAUGGCUGUCGUCAGCUAGUGUCGUGAGAUGUUGGGUUAAGUCCCGCAACGAGCGCAACCCUUACCUCUAGUUGCCAGCGAGUAAUGUCGGGCACUCUAAGGGGACUGCCUCGGAUAACGGGGAGGAAGGUGGGGACGACGUCAAGUCAGCAUGGCCUUUAUGUCCAGGGCUACACACGUGCUACAAUGGGCGGUACAGAGGGACGCAAGACCGCGAGGUGGAGCAAAUCCCUAAAACCGUUCUCAGUUCGGAUCGCAGGCUGCAAUUCGCCCGCGUGAAGCUGGAAUCGCUAGUAAUCGCGGAUCAGCAUUGCCGCGGUGAACACGUUCUCGGGCCUUGUACACACCGCCCGUCACAUCACGAAAGUUGGUCAUACCCGAAGUCACUGGGCUAACCCUCGGGAGGCAGGUGCCUAAGGUGUGGUCGAUGAUUGGGGUGAAGUCGUAACAAGGUA